CUGACGCAGCGACGCCGUGUGCGGGAUGAAGGAGCUUCCCUCUGUAAACCGCUGUCGGGAGGGACUAAAAGCUCCGCUACGGGGCUGGGACGGUACCUCCAAAGGAAGGACCGGCUAACUACGUGCCAGCAGCCGCGGUAAUACGUAGGGUCCAAGCGUUGUCCGGAUUUACUGGGUGUAAAGGGUGCGUAGGCGGGUCUGUGCGUCAGAGGUUAAAGAUCCCGGCUUAACCGGGAAAGUGCCUUUGAUACGGCAGGUCUUGAGUGUAGAUGAGGAUGAUGGAAUUCCUGGUGUAGCGGUGAAAUGCGUAGAUAUCAGGAGGAACACCGGAGGCGAAGGCGGUCAUCUAAUCUACUACUGACGCUGAGGCACGAAAGCGUGGGGAGCAAACAGGAUCAGAUACCCUGGUAGUCCACGCCCUAAACGAUGUAUGCUUGGUGUUAGAUGCUUGUCAUCUAGUGCCGGAGGUAACCCGUUAAGCAUACCACCUGGGGAGUACGAUCGCAAGGUUGAAACUCAAAGGGAAUUGACGG
RNAcentral lists this ribosomal RNA (533 nucleotides) under uncultured bacterium. RNAcentral describes it as "bacterial SSU rRNA". It matches the Rfam family "Bacterial small subunit ribosomal RNA", at positions 383 to 916 of the family's 1533-position model. The record is from RNAcentral.